UACGUAGGUGGCAAGCGUUGUCCGGAUUUACUGGGCGUAAAGAGCGCGCAGGCGGUCGUGCAAGUCGUGUGUGAAAGCCCCCGGCUCAACUGGGGAGGGUCACGCGAUACUGCUCGACUUGAAGGCAGGAGAGGGAAGUGGAAUUCCCGGUGUAGUGGUGAAAUGCGUAGAUAUCGGGAGGAACACCAGUGGCGAAGGCGACUUCCUGGCCUGUUCUUGACGCUGAGGCGCGAAAGCUAGGGUAGCAAACGGG
RNAcentral lists this ribosomal RNA (253 nucleotides) under uncultured bacterium. RNAcentral's name for it is "partial 16S ribosomal RNA". It matches the Rfam family "Bacterial small subunit ribosomal RNA", at positions 524 to 776 of the family's 1533-position model. The record is from RNAcentral.